UACGUAGGGGUCUAGCGUUGUUCGGAUUCAUUGGGCGUAAAGGGUGCGUAGGCGGCGGGGCAAGUCUGAUGUGAAAUCCCGGGGCUCAACCCCGGAACUGCAUUGGAUACUGCUCUGCUUGAGCACUGGAGAGGAGACUGGAAUUUACGGUGUAGCAGUGAAAUGCGUAGAUAUCGUAAGGAAGACCAGUGGCGAAGGCGAGUCUCUGGACAGUUGCUGACGCUGAGGCACGAAGGCCAGGGGAGCAAACGGG
RNAcentral lists this ribosomal RNA (253 nucleotides) under uncultured bacterium. Its description in RNAcentral is "partial 16S ribosomal RNA". It matches the Rfam family "Bacterial small subunit ribosomal RNA", at positions 524 to 776 of the family's 1533-position model. The record is from RNAcentral.